AGCUCUCUAGGCCUGGGUACCGGAGGGAGGGAGGUGGGCAGAGGAGGGGAGAUGGGCACCCCCAGUCUUUCCAUCCUCCUCAUUCGACUAGGGGCACCCGAAUCCCCUAUUCCUUAUUUCCCCUAUCACUCAGGCACUGGCAGGGUCCUUUGCCCACUCCUGUUGGCCGCUGCGGCUCCAAAGCGAGAUGUGCCUGAGACAGGUUUGACCAGGCAACUGAAAAGACAUCCCUAAGAGAAGACAAAGCAAAGGUAUGAAAGGAACACACAUCCCUGACUGACUAGGAGGAACAGAGCUGCCUGCUGUCUGGAACCGCUUCCUCCAAGACUAAGUGAGAAAUAAACUUCUGUUUUCUAUA
RNAcentral lists this long non-coding RNA (358 nucleotides) under Homo sapiens (human). RNAcentral's name for it is "family with sequence similarity 242 member D (FAM242D)". Lineage: Eukaryota; Metazoa; Chordata; Mammalia; Primates; Hominidae. The record is from RNAcentral.